AGUGAACGCUGGCGGUAGGCCUAACACAUGCAAGUCGAACGGCAGCACAGUAAGAGCUUGCUCUUACGGGUGGCGAGUGGCGGACGGGUGAGGAAUACAUCGGAAUCUACUUUUUCGUGGGGGAUAACGUAGGGAAACUUACGCUAAUACCGCAUACGACCUACGGGUGAAAGCAGGGGAUCUUCGGACCUUGCGCGAUUGAAUGAGCCGACGUCGGAUUAGCUAGUUGGCGGGGUAAAGGCCCACCAAGGCGACGAUCCGUAGCUGGUCUGAGAGGAUGAUCAGCCACACUGGAACUGAGACACGGUCCAGACUCCUACGGGAGGCAGCAGUGGGGAAUAUUGGACGAUGGGCGCAGGCCUGAUCCAGCCAUACCGCGUGGGUGAAGAAGGCCUUCGGGUUGUAAAGCCCUUUUGUUGGGAAAGAAAAGCAGCAGGUUAAUACCCCGCUGUUCUGACGGUACCCAAAGAAUAAGCACCGGCUAACUUCGUG
RNAcentral lists this ribosomal RNA (492 nucleotides) under uncultured bacterium. RNAcentral's name for it is "partial 16S ribosomal RNA". It matches the Rfam family "Bacterial small subunit ribosomal RNA", at positions 29 to 507 of the family's 1533-position model. The record is from RNAcentral.